RNAcentral lists this ribosomal RNA (1190 nucleotides) under uncultured Pseudomonas sp. RNAcentral's name for it is "bacterial SSU rRNA". It matches the Rfam family "Bacterial small subunit ribosomal RNA", at positions 287 to 1469 of the family's 1533-position model. The record is from RNAcentral. Lineage: Bacteria; Pseudomonadati; Pseudomonadota; Gammaproteobacteria; Pseudomonadales; Pseudomonadaceae.
CUGGUCUGAGAGGAUGAUCAGUCACACUGGAACUGAGACACGGUCCAGACUCCUACGGGAGGCAGCAGUGGGGAAUAUUGGACAAUGGGCGAAAGCCUGAUCCAGCCAUGCCGCGUGUGUGAAGAAGGUCUUCGGAUUGUAAAGCACUUUAAGUUGGGAGGAAGGGCAUUAACCUAAUACGUUAGUGUUUUGACGUUACCGACAGAAUAAGCACCGGCUAACUCUGUGCCAGCAGCCGCGGUAAUACAGAGGGUGCAAGCGUUAAUCGGAAUUACUGGGCGUAAAGCGCGCGUAGGUGGUUUGUUAAGUUGGAUGUGAAAUCCCCGGGCUCAACCUGGGAACUGCAUUCAAAACUGACAAGCUAGAGUAUGGUAGAGGGUGGUGGAAUUUCCUGUGUAGCGGUGAAAUGCGUAGAUAUAGGAAGGAACACCAGUGGCGAAGGCGACCACCUGGACUGAUACUGACACUGAGGUGCGAAAGCGCGGGGAGCAAACAGGAUUAGAUACCCUGGUAGUCCACGCCGUAAACGAUGUCAACUAGCCGUUGGGAGCCUUGAGCUCUUAGUGGCGCAGCUAACGCAUUAAGUUGACCGCCUGGGGAGUACGGCCGCAAGGUUAAAACUCAAAUGAAUUGACGGGGGCCCGCACAAGCGGUGGAGCAUGUGGUUUAAUUCGAAGCAACGCGAAGAACCUUACCAGGCCUUGACAUCCAAUGAACUUUCCAGAGAUGGAUUGGUGCCUUCGGGAACAUUGAGACAGGUGCUGCAUGGCUGUCGUCAGCUCGUGUCGUGAGAUGUUGGGUUAAGUCCCGUAACGAGCGCAACCCUUGUCCUUAGUUACCAGCACGUGAUGGUGGGCACUCUAAGGAGACUGCCGGUGACAAACCGGAGGAAGGUGGGGAUGACGUCAAGUCAUCAUGGCCCUUACGGCCUGGGCUACACACGUGCUACAAUGGUCGGUACAGAGGGUUGCCAAGCCGCGAGGUGGAGCUAAUCCCAGAAAACCGAUCGUAGUCCGGAUCGCAGUCUGCAACUCGACUGCGUGAAGUCGGAAUCGCUAGUAAUCGCGAAUCAGAAUGUCGCGGUGAAUACGUUCCCGGGCCUUGUACACACCGCCCGUCACACCAUGGGAGUGGGUUGCACCAGAAGUAGCUAGUCUAACCUUCGGGAGGACGGUUACCACGGAGUGAUU